UACGUAGGGUGCAAGCGUUGUCCGGAAUUAUUGGGCGUAAAGAGCUCGUAGGCGGUCUGUCGCGUCUGCUGUGAAAACUCGGGGCUUAACCCCGGGCCUGCAGUGGGUACGGGCAGACUAGAGUACAGAAGGGGCAACUGGAAUUCUCGGUGUAGCGGUGAAAUGCGUAGAUAUCGAGAGGAACACCUGCGGCGAAGGCGGGUUGCUGGGCUGAUACUGACGCUGAGGCGCGAAAGCCAGGGGAGCGAACGGG
Molecule: ribosomal RNA, 253 nt
Filed under: uncultured bacterium
Lineage: Bacteria
Description: partial 16S ribosomal RNA
Rfam family: Bacterial small subunit ribosomal RNA
Source: RNAcentral